RNAcentral lists this ribosomal RNA (253 nucleotides) under uncultured bacterium. Its description in RNAcentral is "partial 16S ribosomal RNA". It matches the Rfam family "Bacterial small subunit ribosomal RNA", at positions 524 to 776 of the family's 1533-position model. The record is from RNAcentral.
UACAAAGGGGGCUAGCGUUGUUCGGAAUCACUGGGCGUAAAGGGCGCUGAGGCUGCUUGAUAAGUCGGGGGUGAAAGCCUGUGGCUCAACCACAGAAUUGCCUUCGAUACUGUCGAGCUUGAGACCGGAAGAGGUAAGUGGAACUGCGAGUGUAGAGGUGAAAUUCGUAGAUAUUCGCAAGAACACCAGUGGCGAAGGCGGCUUACUGGUCCGGUUCUGACGCUGAGGCGCGAAAGCGUGGGGAGCAAACAGG